This 581-nucleotide long non-coding RNA is filed under the name Ananas comosus (pineapple). Its description in RNAcentral is "long non-coding RNA (ACOM_LNC042452)". Lineage: Eukaryota; Viridiplantae; Streptophyta; Magnoliopsida; Poales; Bromeliaceae. The record is from RNAcentral.
CGUCAUCUAUCAUCUCUUCUCUCUUCCAUCUUCUAGCAACAAAGACGUCCUUUUGCAAGGGAGCUAGCACCCCGGUGAGGACAUCAAUCAAAUCAAGAACCUCAUGUGGAUACCUAUAGAGGCCGGACGCGUGUGCGGCUUCAAGAGAAUCGAAUUCCACGAUCAUCAAAUUGAGGGGAAGAUCUAUCUGUGAAAAAGGUAAAGAUUCGAUCUUGUUUUUCUUCUUUAAUCUUAAAAUAUGAGGGAUCCUAAUUGCGUGGUUUUUGAGAUUGGAUCUCGAGAAUUUUUCAAAAUCAAAUUUGUUUGAUUUCUUUUUCCGCUGCGUUUUACCGUACGCAAUUUUCUAACAGCAGUUGUGGCCGCCGUCGCGCAGUCGUGCCCGCCGCUGCGCCGGGGAGGAGGAGGAGCCUCAGGUGUGGUGGCGUUUUUUUGGGAGAAGGGGUUUGAGGGGAUCGACAGUGUUAGGGUUUUUUUAGGGGGAAAUUAAAAGGGAGGGGAAAAUUUGGGGGGAAAGAAUAAAAACUAAAUGGGACUUCUUCUUCUUUUUUUUUUAAGAUAUAGGGGCGGUUGUGGUAAACCGC